GGUUUGGUAUCAGGGGGCCCAAACCAGAUGCGUGUGUUUCCAUCCUUACCCUUAGUAAGACGUAUCUCGUGGAAACGUCUGCGUAUCUCGUGGAAACGCUAUCUCAGCAACUCGCUUGGAAAUUGCCUAUAUCUGAGCGACUCACUUGGAAAUCGCCUACACCUCAGCAACUCGCUUGGAAAUUGCCUACAUCUGAGCGACUCACUUGGAAAUCGCCUACACCUCAGCAACUCGCUUGGAAAUUGCCUACCUCUCCGCGACUCACUUGGAAAUCGCCUACACCUCAGCAACUCGCUUGGAAAUUGCCUACAUCUCCGCGACUCACUUGGAAAUCGCCUACACCUCAGCAACUCGCUUGGAAAUUGCCUACUACCUGCUAUGGCGUAUCUCGUGGAAACGCACCUCAUUUGUUAGGGAAACAAACGCAUCUUCAUCCCAUUUGGCUGACGAAGGAAGCCCGACAAAGCCAAGCCUCUCAACAAGUAUUCAUAUUACUAUGGAAAGUUUACCAAAACACCAAAGGACAAUUUGCAAAAAUCUGAAAGACUGUCAUUGAAAUAUCUAGAGAAGGACAAAGGUAUCAUAAUCCAACUGGCUGACAAGGGGAGAACAAUGGUUAUCAUGGAUACACCUGACUACAUCGACAAGUGCAAUGAACACAUCAACAACAGGCCUUACAAACUUCUCAAGAAAGAUGCUACAGAAGUCAUCACUGCCCAGGCAAAUGGCUCCGAGGUUCAGAUGCUGUAUCCAGAUUCCGCACGGUUGCUGAAAUUGCAUUUGCUGAAUCCCCAUUGCUCAAUAAAAUACGACAACCCCUGCAUGAAACAGAUUUCAACACAGAACAAGCCCCAAACGAUGCAAUGGAAGCCACAGUAAUUGAGCGCAUGCAAGCAUUCUAUGAUGCCAAACAAGGCAUUUAAGUGACCUCCUUAGAUCAUGUACGUCAUUGUGGGAAGGAUGACCAGGCCCUACUACCAGGCCCUACUACUUGCCAUCUCUGAUGGGUUUCUAGAUAACUGAAAAGAUACACUGCCCAUGCUCCGUCAAUUUUGGAACAUUUGUGGGAGGCUUUCAACAUGGAAUGGCAUCGCCCUACUAGAUAAACGCAUUAUUAUUCCAUCAAGUCUCAGAAACGAAGUGUUAACAUCAUUGUAUUCUGCCCACCAAGGGUGCACUGGAAUGAAAGCUCGAUCUUCAGAAUGCAUUUACUGGCCUGGACUCAAUUCUGCCAUCCAUAUUUUUUGAGACAACUGUCGUACGUGUAUCCAACACACGCCUAGUCAAUCCAAAGAACCACUCUCACUCUCACCACCUCUGGAAUGACCAUUCCAAAAGAUCUGUGGAGACUACUUUACCAUCAAUGGGAAUCACUACCUCUCCAUAGUCGACCGAUUUAGUGGCUGGAUUUGUGUUUACCAUUUUGGUUUGAAUGAGGCUACAACAAAGAAGCUCAUAUCAGUAUGUUGCAAUUUAUUCACCACUUAUGGUGCUCCUGAUGAAUUCAGCACUGACGGAGGGCCACAAUUGGCCUCCAACGCCUUCAAAGCUUUUUUUACUGAAUUGGGGUGUACACCAUCGACUGUCUUCUGCUGAAUACCCCAGUCUAAUGGACGAGCAGAACUUGGUAUAAACGUGUUCUCUAUGAUAAUAUCUCUAACAACGGCUCUAUAGAUAAUAAUAGAGUAUCUCGGGCCAUUCUACAAUAUCGCAACAUACCAUUACCUGACAUUAACUUGAGUCCAGUCCAAAUUCUAUUCAACAGACAACUUCAGGAUCACCUACCAGUGCACCCCCAUCACUACUGCCUGCACCAAGAUUGGAUCCUUUCAGCUAAGCAACAAGAGGCUGCACUACAUAACCGCAACAUUGUCUUAGCUAAAGACUAUAACAAACAUGUACACGCACUGCCUCCCCUUCCAGUUGGCACUCCUGUCGUCAUUCAAAAUGAUGGAAAGAAGCAUCCUCGCAUAUGGACGAAAACUGGUCGCAUAGUUAAGAACCUUCCCAACCGCCAGUAUCAGAUUAGGAUGGAUGUCUCGGGACGUCUCACCUUACAAAAUCGAUGCUUCAUUCGUAAAGUAGUGAAGCCAACACCCCUCACAACAGACAGACCUCACCAUCCAAGACAGCAGUACCCCUCCUGAAUUAGCAACUGAAGUACCACCAAAACUCACGACCGGUUGAUUACUGCAAUGUCUUGCUUCACAUAAUACACCAGGUCGUUGUGAACAACAGCCCCUACCUCCUAAACGUUUGGUACAUUUAACCCACCACAAUGGAACUUAACUCACAUCGUACAGCCGAUAAUAUCACUACAUUAAUAACUAUUUUACUAAAGUUUAAAGUUUUGUUUAAUGACUUUUAAAGACAGGAGAGAUGAUUAGACUUGGAACUCCAUACAUUCUAACAAUUAUCUUGAUCAACAGACCAUUGAUAUCCAUUAUACCCCAACAGGGGAGAUGUUAAGACCUAAUUGACAUUUACAUUCUUAUUGUCCUUUUAAAUUAAAUAUAUUGCUGGUCUUAGUACCUAUAUAAAUAAGUGUCUUCUAUUACUUAUUGAACUUAUCUGAAUAUACU
Long non-coding RNA from Hydractinia symbiolongicarpus, 2582 nucleotides. RefSeq lists it as uncharacterized. The transcript has 2 exons. The record is from RefSeq and is a predicted model, not a curated record. Lineage: Eukaryota; Metazoa; Cnidaria; Hydrozoa; Anthoathecata; Hydractiniidae.